UUUCCCAAUCUAAAUUUGACGGAGGUCCACUCCUCUUUCUACCACUAUCAUCUUCUCGAAGGUAAUGCAAAUACUGAGCAUCCUCUUCUUCUAACAUAUCUAAAGCUUUUUCAAAUUUCAAUGUCGUUUCCAACAUCAAAUAGGUAGAAUUCCACCUAAUUGGAACAUCCAAAAACACAAUAGACUUGCAAUCAAUCUUCUCUUUCGUUGCACACUCCUUCAAUUUUUCAUACCUAGAGGGAGAAGAUUUUAC
This 253-nucleotide long non-coding RNA is filed under the name Olea europaea subsp. europaea. The record is from RNAcentral. Lineage: Eukaryota; Viridiplantae; Streptophyta; Magnoliopsida; Lamiales; Oleaceae.